CAGUAGCCGCGGGAAUACGGAGGGUGCAAGCGUUAAUCGGAAUUACUGGGCGUAAAGCGCACGCAGGCGGUCUGACAAGUCAGAUGUGAAAUCCCCGGGCUUAACCUGGGAACUGCAUUUGAAACUGUCAGGCUGGAGUCUUGUAGAGGGGGGUGGAAUUCCAGGUGUAGCGGUGAAAUGCGUAGAGAUCUGGAGGAAUACCGAUGGCGAAGGCAGCCAUCUGGCCUAAUACUGACGCUGAGGUACGAAAGCAUGGGGAGCAAACAGGAUUAGAUACCCGCGUAGUCCCUGUCUCUUAUAC
Molecule: ribosomal RNA, 301 nt
Filed under: uncultured bacterium
Lineage: Bacteria
Description: partial 16S ribosomal RNA
Rfam family: Bacterial small subunit ribosomal RNA
Source: RNAcentral